AUACGGAGGGUGCAAGCGUUACUCGGAAUCACUGGGCGUAAAGCGCGCGCAGGCGGGCUGAUAAGUUGGAUGUGAAAGCCUACGGCUCAACCGUAGAACUGCAUCCAAAACUGUCAGUCUAGAGUGUGGGAGAGGAAGAUGGAAUUAGUUGUGUAGGGAUAAAAUCCGUAGAGAUAACUAGGAAUACCAAAAGCGAAGGCAAUCUUCUGGAACACUACUGACGCUGAGGCGCGAAGGCGUGGGGAGCAAACAGGAUUAGAAACCCCAGUAGUCC
RNAcentral lists this ribosomal RNA (274 nucleotides) under uncultured bacterium. Its description in RNAcentral is "partial 16S ribosomal RNA". It matches the Rfam family "Bacterial small subunit ribosomal RNA", at positions 523 to 796 of the family's 1533-position model. The record is from RNAcentral.